Molecule: ribosomal RNA, 543 nt
Filed under: Triticum aestivum (bread wheat)
Lineage: Eukaryota; Viridiplantae; Streptophyta; Magnoliopsida; Poales; Poaceae
Description: partial small subunit ribosomal RNA
Source: RNAcentral
AUGGCAGCCACGGGGCUUUGGAAGGCGCGAAUCCCGCUAAAAAUUAAGGUCUUUCUUUGGCAAUUAUGCCAGGAUCGCCUCCCUACCUCUAUCAAUAUAGCUAAGCGCAAUGGCCCUGCUUCCGGACCGUGCGCUUUGUGUCAUAACGCGGAAGAUGCUGACCACGCGUUCUUUCGCUGCCCUUUGGCGCGGUUUGCUUGGAGUGUGGUCAGGGAGGCCGCUGGGGUGGAUUGGGAUCCACGCUCACGCUCUGAGCUUGUGUCUUACUUAUCUUCGAUCCCGGGCUCUUUGCGCCGGAUAAUGUGGACGUGUGCUGCGGCCUUGCUAUGGGCCUUAUGGCAUAUUCGUAACAAGUUUUCUAUUGAGGGAGCGUUUCCCUCUCACCCCGCUGAUGUUAUCUUCAAAUGCAUCUUAUUCUUGCAGCAGUGGGCGCCGUUGGGAAGACAACAGGAUGCUGAUCACCACCGACAAGCUAUCGCACGGCUUCGCACCGUCUACUCGGCGAACCGAGCCUCGUCGCCUCCUCCGCCUGCUGCCUUAUAG